CGUACACUCCUACGGGAGGCAGCAGUGGGGAAUAUUGGACAAUGGGCGCAAGCCUGAUCCAGCCAUGCCGCGUGAGUGAUGAAGGCCCUAGGGUUGUAAAGCUCUUUCACCGGUGAAGAUAAUGACGGUAACCGGAGAAGAAGCCCCGGCUAACUUCGUGCCAGCAGCCGCGGUAAUACGAAGGGGGCUAGCGUUGUUCGGAUUUACUGGGCGUAAAGCGCACGUAGGCGGACUAUUAAGUCAGGGGUGAAAUCCCGGGGCUCAACCCCGGAACUGCCUUUGAUACUGGUAGUCUUGAGUUCGAGAGAGGUGAGUGGAAUUCCGAGUGUAGAGGUGAAAUUCGUAGAUAUUCGGAGGAACACCAGUGGCGAAGGCGGCUCACUGGCUCGAUACUGACGCUGAGGUGCGAAAGCGUGGGGAGCAAAUAGGAUUAGAUACCCCAGUAGUCCCAUGA
Molecule: ribosomal RNA, 454 nt
Filed under: uncultured organism
Description: partial 16S ribosomal RNA
Rfam family: Bacterial small subunit ribosomal RNA
Source: RNAcentral